UCAUACACUGGUCGGUCAACAACCUUGAUUCAUAAAAAAAAUAGUGAGCUCUUUGAAAGAAAAAAAAAUGGUGGAUAACAACGACAACUUGCAAAUCAAGAUUCUCAUAAGCAUGGGUAGUGAAACUUUAUAUUAUGAGAAAGUUGGUUUAGGUUUCUACCUUUCCAUGACCUAAUCCGGUUGUUUAUUAUACAGAGUCAAACUUGCAUAAGUCGAAGUAGAUCAUCCGAAAGAUGUUUAAG
RNAcentral lists this long non-coding RNA (242 nucleotides) under Brassica rapa (field mustard). RNAcentral describes it as "long non-coding RNA (BRAP_LNC005941)". Lineage: Eukaryota; Viridiplantae; Streptophyta; Magnoliopsida; Brassicales; Brassicaceae. The record is from RNAcentral.